This 225-nucleotide unclassified non-coding RNA is filed under the name Hevea brasiliensis (rubber tree). The record is from RNAcentral. Lineage: Eukaryota; Viridiplantae; Streptophyta; Magnoliopsida; Malpighiales; Euphorbiaceae.
GUUCCAUAGCCAUGCUUGGCCUGGUAGGGCAGGGUGGAGAGGGCGGUCUCAUCGACGUCGAACACCCAGAUCUCCUUGCCAUGGCCGGAGAGCUUGAGGCUCUCGGCGUAGGCGAUGGCCUCGUUGAUCACCACGUCGGAGUCGCGGCCGUAUCGCUCGCCGGUCAAGUAGUCGGAGACGUACUCGGCGCAGUCCGCCGGCACCGUCUUCCAGCCGAUGAUGUUG